The submitters of this non-coding RNA (110 nucleotides) gave its source as unclassified sequences. The record is from Rfam.
GUUGCCGCCGGACGGGAUGGGUCAUGAGGGUUGGGGAACCUGUUGAGGGGCUUGUUUCCGAGAGGUGCUUGGGUCCAAGGGAGCCCGGGUGGUUCGUUUCGGCGAAGGAG